UUGUAUCUGUGUUAACUAUCAGUUUUGUUCCUCAAUACUUGGUGGUUACUAAUUAGUUUUUACCUGAAAUUCUGGUAGGUUCCAACUGCUAAAGUAUUCUCAUCUCCUUUGUGAUUUGGAUCUACUAUAAUUAAUCAGGUUCCAGCUGCUGAAGUAUUCUUAUCUCGUUUGUGACUUGGCUCCAGUUUAAAUAUUCAGGCUAUAGCUUUUACCUCCUCAAGAACUCCUCUCCUCCGGUGUGAACUCGGCAUGCAACACUGAGAAGCUAGCAUCUUCGCUCACAAUUCGAAAUCAGCAACCAGGUAUAUAGCAGUUGCUGACGCCAAGCACCACUUUCCAAGUUUCUUGGAAAGAGUCUGCAACGCAGCAAAAAUGAAGAUGAAUCUGCCCAUAUCACUAGCAGCAACACUACUCUGCUCAGCCAGCGCAAAAGACAAACAAAAGGAAAAUCAGACCAAAUUGUUUCAUGGGUAGAAAGGAAAUCUGUUGGUGAAAUGACCAUUGCUAUUGACACUGAAUCAAAGCAAGGAAAAAAAAGACUGCCAUUCUACUGUAUUUGAAAGACUUGAUGGUGUCCUGCCCCUCCUGCACCUACAACACUAGACCUGUACCUGGCGGCCUCCAAUUUUGACUGCCCUGCCUUCUUUUCCCAUCUGGUCCGGUGCAGGCAAGGAAGGGGGCGUCUCUUGCAUCAUGGAGUCUCUGGUUCACAUUCUGUUCCUUCCCCAGCUCCUCCACAUGAUUCAGGUGUUCUCAUCAUGUGCUGCUUCUGCCCUCCCUCCAUUGCAAGGGAAAAAAUAUACCGUUGCUUUGGCCCAGUUCCUCAUAAGUCAAAAAGGUAACACUCUCGUUCCUUCCAUGAAAUUUCUCACUGCUCCUGCUGUUCCUGCUUGCCUUCGUACACCAUUGGUCAAUUUUACUGUUUGUCCACCUUCCCCACGCCAAACAUGUACUGAUUUGCAAAGUGAAAUAAUAUAAAAACCCAAUAUUUUAACUCCAGUGUGCUCAUUCAGGUCAAGCGCUACACAAGGGUGCAUAAAUAAGCAUUGAUUAUCUCUAACAAGCAGGUUAGUGCUUCUUCAUGUGAAUUUAGUUAUCGUACAAUAUAAUAUCAUAUAUAGGUAUCAUAUAUAGUUAUUGAAUCAUAUAUAGGUAUCGCAUAAACAUAAUAACAUUAAUUUUUUUUACAGCAUGCUAGACUCCUUCGCCCUCCUAUAGAGCUUUCAGUGAUUCUUUACAGCAUGCAUAUUGUUAAUCCAGAUUUUAUUACUCUCCCCAGGCCUCUAACUUAAUUAUAGUACUAAUAUUUCUUGCAUUAUAAUAUUACAUGAUACUAUUUACAUUAUAAUAUUACAGGACAUCUCCACUCCUUCUGUGAAUUAUGAAGCCCUUUGCAGAAGUCUUUUGUUCCGUUGUAAUAACUAUAUCCAUAUUUUAGAUUUUUAUCCUAGACUAUGAAGCUGAUAGCUACUAUCUCAAUAAAUCUAAAACUCCUUGUAAAUAACUCUUAUAUUUCGUUGUGACAUAACUAGAAAAUUCUUAUUUGUCCUCUAUGGCAAUAUGAGUCUACUAAAUGUACAAAUUUUAUUAUUCAGAUCGAUAAAGUUGACAUGAGCGUGCGCAAAUUUA
This is an RNA transcript of Panicum virgatum (switchgrass), 1629 nucleotides long. RefSeq lists it as uncharacterized. The transcript has 7 exons. Lineage: Eukaryota; Viridiplantae; Streptophyta; Magnoliopsida; Poales; Poaceae. The record is from RefSeq and is a predicted model, not a curated record.